GCUAUGAAAUAAACCGGAAAUAAACUGUAAGUAGACGGCUCCAGUGCCGUGGACGAAGCAAUCCAUUAUUCAGCAAAUUUCAUUUUCGUAUUGAAAGGGAUAAAGUUGAAAAGGUGAAUUGAUGACAGAUCAUAAUUUGUAAAAAAAAAGAAGAGAAAUGGCAUCUCCCAAUAUUUUGCCAGAAACAGAAUCUAUAGGUGCCUGUCUACUACUACUUCAGUCAGAAUGCCUGUCACAAGCAGAUUUUAAAGCAGCCAUUGAUUUGGUUAUAAAAAUAUGCAGAAAUAUAGAAGCAAAUCCUCAAGAAGAAAAAUAUAAAAAAAUAAAAAAGGACAGCAAAUCUUUAAGUAAGAAAAUAUGGCAGUUUAGUGGUGGACAAGAGUUGAUGUUAGCAAUAGGAUGGGUUGAGGUAGAUGAUAAUAUAAUGUAUAUAGAAGAGAAAGAUUUACCUUCCAUUAUAAAGUUUUUAGAAGAUAAAUUAAAAGAAAAUGGUUUUGAUUCAACAAGUGUUCAGUCUUCUACCAAUAUACAAGUUAGUAAUGGUUGGACAGCUGAAGAGAUUAGAAAAAAAGAGAAAUUAUUAGAAAUAGAAAAAGAGAAGAGAUUAGCAUCUAUUAAAAGAAAACGAGAAGAAGAAAAAAGAGUAAAGGCACAGAUUGAAGCUGAUAGGAAUAAUAUAAAUGCUAGAGAAUUAAAAGCCUCGAAAGCUGUAGAAAGGAAGGGAGGUAGUAAUGUAAAAAGAUUUGCCGAUAUCGGUGUUGAUGUUAAUGGCCAAGAGGGUGGAUGAGGUUAAAGUUCCCAGCUAUAAGCUGGAUUAUGACCAGGUCUUGGUUUCUCGAUGUAUCUGAUGAUAGUUUUUAUCUUAAAUAGCAUAAAGAUAAUGACUGGAUGGUGUUACAUCAUAGUACAGAAACCAGGAAUUAAUUCUCAUAUACCUCAUUAACAAUUCUUUAUAUGUUAACUUAUUUAUAUUUGAUAAUGAUAUAAAAAUUUGUUGUAAGGCCGCACGAAUUUGAUUUUCAGUUCUUCAAGGUUGGCUGAAUUGUUUAACCGGUGUGCAUUAGAUCGCAAGGUCUGUCAAGUCGUAUAGUUUCGAAUCCCGCUUGUAUGUGACAAGGAGUAGGGUCGUCUGUCAAACCUCGUAAGUUUUCUCUGGGUCCCUUACACACAAGCGAAUUAUUGAAUAACCUGGAAUAACCUAGUUUGUGUCAAGUGGAGGUUAAAUUCCAUUUCUCUCUCUCUUCUGCAUCUUGAUCAAUAAAUAGUCUUUUGAAUCUUGUGCAAGAUGUUUUGUUUUAUAAAAUUUCAAAACUUAAAAAUUUGGAACUAAAAGCUUUUGACAGCACUACGAUACACUGUUGGUUUUUAAAAUAAGUUUUUUUUCUCAAAGAAAUAAGAAGGAAUAUUUUGUAGGUGUUCGCAAAGAACAAAAAAUCAAUUUGGUGUGGCCUAAAAGUAUUUCAUUUAUUUCAUCAAUCAUCAUCAUCUGGAAGAGAUUCAUUUUGUAGAUAUCUUUUAUGUGUUUGUUGUAAUUGUAUAUUUUUAUUGUCAUGUAGAUUGUAUAUUAUAAAAUAAAGGUUUAUCUUUUAACAUA
Molecule: long non-coding RNA, 1594 nt
Organism: Patella vulgata (common limpet)
Lineage: Eukaryota; Metazoa; Mollusca; Gastropoda; Patellidae
Exons: 9
Source: RefSeq, a predicted model, not a curated record